GAUUCACUUGAUCAAACUCAUUGUUCUUGAACCUGAUGACAGCUUUCAUUUCUGCCAAGGGAAUCUGAGGUC
Small nucleolar RNA from Rhinolophus ferrumequinum (greater horseshoe bat), 72 nucleotides. Ensembl annotates it as small nucleolar RNA, C/D box 108. Its record names the gene SNORD108. NCBI's taxonomy places the organism in Eukaryota, Metazoa, Chordata, Mammalia, Chiroptera, Rhinolophidae. The record is from Ensembl.